This is a long non-coding RNA of Bombyx mori (domestic silkworm), 3595 nucleotides long. RefSeq lists it as uncharacterized. Lineage: Eukaryota; Metazoa; Arthropoda; Insecta; Lepidoptera; Bombycidae. The record is from RefSeq and is a predicted model, not a curated record. The transcript is spliced from 2 exons.
CGCAAAUCCGUUGUCAUGAUACCCUUGUCAUAAGUGACACUGUAUAUCCUAGAUUAUUGAUUUUUUAUUGAAUAUACAAGUUUUUUCUAAUCCAAGUUUAUUUUCAUAAUCAUCCCUCGGAAAGUCGAACAUGGUCCAAUACGAGCCGGAUUGGAAAACAACUAAUGAUAAACAAUAAUUUGUUAGUGCAAAAGAACGUUACAAACCGUAAUUAACACAAAACUAUUUCGUUGCUAAGUACUAGUGAAUGUGAAGAAUGGGCCCGGACAGUUAUAUUAAAUUACAAACCGAUGUUCAAAAUAAGAUAUUUAAGGCACAGAUUAAUUUCAAAAAGUCACCUGCAUCUAGAAUAACAAGGGAAUAUAUCGAAACGAGAUUGCAAUUAUUGGAACAACACUGGUUAGUUUGAAGAAAAUCACCAGAAUGUUAUAUUGGGAUGCGAAAAUAACGAUUAUAGCUAUUAAACAAAAGGUACAAUAACAAACGUUACAUCGCGAACAGCAUUCUGGCCAGGCUGGUGGGCCAAAGGGCUUUAUCUUCAGAGUCAUCCAACGGUGUUAAACAAAUACUCGAUACGACAAAUGAUUGCUUGCACGCUUUAUCUAACCUUGGUAUACCUGUAUCGACAUGGGACAUCCUGAUUAUAUAUCUCAUCACAAUAAAAUUGGAUAAUGAAUCCCGGAAACAAUGGGAACAAAAACUAAGCAAACAGGCUGAUCGAUUGCCUACACUAAGCGAGUUCCAAUCAUUCCUGGAAUCAAGAUAUCGAGCACUCGAGUUUUUUGUACAAGAAGCCAUCGAGAAUCGCCGGGAGUUCAUCCAGAAGAGAAAACUGUGUUUCAAUUGCUUCGGAGCUAACCAUUCGGUAACACAGUGCAAACGAUGCACGGCUUGUUGGAUCAGGACUCUCAAGCCUCGUUUAUUAGUGAACACGCAGUUCAACUUUUGCAGCUUUGAAGGUUGCCAGUUCGAAGUACCAUAUCUGGUUUAGGAGGAGACAAAUCUAGUAUUUCAGUAAAACAUAUGGUUCAAUUUAAAGUACAGUCCACAUAUAACUCUUUUAGCUAUCCCGUUCAAGCUUAUGUUUUAAACUGCCUAACAUCCACUCUUCCUUCACAGCAAAUUCAAUUUCAGGAUUGGCCGGAAUUGUUGCAAUUGCAGAUGGCUGAUCCAGGAUAUGGUACACCAAGCAAUAUAGAUCUUCUACUAGGCGCUGAUGUGUAUGGUCAGGUUUUGUCAGAAGGCAUAUUGAGAAAUCCACCUGGAACCUUGACAGCUCAAAACACACAGCUGGGAUGGAUCCUGUCGGGACGAGUUUAGGUUAGUGGGGAUACUCCUUGCAUUAUUAGCGCACAUACCCAUGACAACUCAAUCAAAGAUUUGCUGCGUCAGUUCUGGGAGAUUGAAACUGACCAGCCUCAUCCACUUUUAUCCAAGGAAGAAGAAUCCUGUGAAAGAUACUUUGAAUCCACUACAACUAGGGACAGUUUGGGUCGUUAUGUUGUAGGUCUUCCUUUUCGCGACAACAAUCCACUUGCUCAAGAAGAAACUUGAAAAUAAUCCAUUCUUGAAGCAAGAAUAAUCCAAGGUAAUAAAUGUAGCCACCUGGCUAUGAAUCAUAUAGAAGUAAUUAAUGACAAACAAGAAGCUGCUAAGCCAGGAUGCGUUUAUCUACCUCAUCAUGCAGUUGGUUGUUCGCGAGGACAAAAGUACAAUGAAGGUCGGCGUUGUUUUCGACGCUUCGUGUAAGGGUACCAGCGGCAAGUCAUUGAACAAUGAUUUAUUGGUAGGUCCAAGGCUUCAACCAGAGUUACGACACAUAAUUAUGAAAUGGCGUACUUAUCCUAUAUGUUUCGCAGCGGACAUAGCUAAGAUGUAUCGAAUGGUCAAGGGCGUACCAGAGCAUACUGACUUCCAGCGAGUACUGUGGAGAGAGAAUCCUAGUGAAGAAGUCAAGGACUGCAGGCUGUUAAGAGUUACCUUUGGUGUUUCGUCGGCCCCAUAUCUAGCAGUUAAGAGUUUGCAACAAGUGGCAAAGGACUGAACCCACCAUCGCUCUGGUUUGGCUGAAGGGACAGCCAAAUCGAUGGAAGACCUUCGUCGCAAAUCGAGUGACUGAAAUCCUGACAGUUUUUAAACAACGACCAAUGGUCGCUUGUGGAGUCAUGCCAGAAUCCAGCCGAUUGUGCAUCCCGGGGGCUGGCUCCACAAGAAUUUAUCCACUGUGAACUCUGGUUCCAUGGCCCUACGUUUUUAAGAGAAUCCACGUAUGUAUCGCCAACGGUAAACAUAUCGACUGAUUUAGAAGUCAAGCCGUUGAAGUCUCAUCACCUAACUAUUUCCGAAGUAGCUAGGUCAGAUCUCCAGACAUGGACGAAGUAUUUAUUUUUAUAAAAAAUGGUUAGAGUGGUCGCGUUUUGCAUUCCAUUUAUUAAUAAAUUAAGGUCAAAGCGAUAUCCUUCUUACUUGAUGGCUUCCGAAUGAGAUCAUGCAUUAAAGAUAGGAAUUAAGGUUUGUCAGACUCAGGCGUUUUCUAAAGAUAUUGAGCAAAUAAAUAAUACAAAAAAUGACUCAGCAGUUCUGGCGUAAGUGGUUUGCCGAGUACCUCACGACUCUAAAUCAGAGAUAUCAGCGGACUAAAACUACACCAGAACCCCAAAUAGGUGACGUUGUUCUUGUUAAGGAAGGUGGUCUCCCUCCUUCAAGAUGGUUAUUCGGUUUGAUAGAGGAGAAGCACACUGAUCCAGAUAAUGUCACAAGGGUACUAUCAAAUGUAAGAAAUCUAAAAUUGUAAGACCAGUCUCCAAACUUUGCAUUUUGCCUAUCGCUUUUUAACAUUACUUACCUGAAUAACUGUAGAUAUUUCAUGCAAUGUAUGUAACUUAAAUGUAUCUUUGGAUGCAUCAGCUAUUAAGUAUUUUAUUAUUGUUUAGUUGUAAGUAAGUACGAACUGUUUAAAAGCAACCCUUGACUGAACUUUGUCGUUAUUAUGGUUUCUUUAAUGUGUAAGUUUAUAUUUAGUUCAUGUUGAGCAGUUCUUUAUUGAUUACUAUUAGGUUAAGAUGUUACGGUUUCAUGGAGAUGUUAAUUGUACAUGUAAAAUUUGAUGGCCUCAUUGUUGGCUAUGAACUUUUGUAGUUCAUGGUGGGCGGAAUGUUCACCCUGUUUCUUCUAACUCCUAAAACCGUCACUAGAGCGCGCUGUAAUACGCAAAUCCGUUGUCAUGAUACCCUUGUCAUAAGUGACACUGUAUACGUAGAUUAUUGAUUUUUAUUGAAUAUACAAGUUUUUCUAAUCCAAGUUAAUUUUCAUAAUCAUCCCUCGGAAAGUCGAACACUUUGCUUAUUUCGCUUAUUCAACAUGGCGGAAAAGAAGAAAAGACGUUUAACGUAUACCAGUGAAGAAAGUGACACAUAGAAGCGGUGCAGAUUUUGCAGCACCAAAAAUUGCAAAAGAGAUCAAAAAUAUGUUGUUCUAUGUGGAAAGUGACUCUAUGUGCCAAGUCAUGUUUCAGACUUUUUCACACUCCGGAGGAAACUCAAGCAGAAUAAUAAUUUACUUUUCACAAUUAAUAAAACUCUCUACUUAUUAUGAA